Molecule: long non-coding RNA, 2076 nt
Organism: Capsicum annuum
Lineage: Eukaryota; Viridiplantae; Streptophyta; Magnoliopsida; Solanales; Solanaceae
Exons: 3
Source: RefSeq, a predicted model, not a curated record
CUUAGGGUCCUUUCUCAUUGUUAGGGUUCUUAGAUUUGUGAAUAUUGUAUGUCAAGUUACUAUCCUUUUUGUAUCUUGUUAUUGCGGAAUCCAAAUCUGGUUGUUUUGUGUCAUCUUGUUCAUCACGUUUUUGUAGCUGUUUGGGUGUUAAAAUACACUCUUGUAUCUUGUAUUCUUGUUGUACUUGUUGAAUCCAAGAGUUGGUCUCCAAUAGGUCCUCGGAUCUUGUGAUGUGUGGACUGUUUGAAGUGUGUUUCGUGUUCCUCUUGUUUUUCUUGUAUCAGUUGGUAUGGAUGGAAUCGGUAUUGGUGGUGGCCUUGGCAUUAGAAUAGGCUAGUGGGCUAACACCACAUCACAUAAUUUUCCACUGUUCCGUCAUAUUACAUUUUGUGAUUGAUUAUCAUAUUAUGUUUUAGUAUUCUCUUUUGUUAUGGCCUGGUUUAUGGCCUAUGAUUUGGUUUGAUACGGUUGGAUGGUUGAUUUGGUACGGGUGGACUCGGUUGGGUCGGCCAUGGUUGAGACUCUAUCCCAAAGUCUUCAUGAGAGCAUUUACUCUACCUUGCUAUAUGAUCAAAAUUCAUCCCAUCUAAGGCUGGAUAUAGAUAGUUGGGUUGGGUUACAGAGGGCGAUCUAGUUGGGUUGGGUUACAGAGGGCGGUCUCUGAUCCUGGUUGAACUUGUGAUGUCCAUUGCGACAAAGUUCGGGGUCGGGUCAGUUGUUCAUGUAGCAUCGAUUACGAGUGUGACAAUUAUAUUUGGAGCAGUACAUAUACAAGAAGUGAAGGCCUGAAAUGCGAGAAUCGAUCUUCCCUCUUUCACGUACUUAAUGAUCAAUAGGAGGCCUCUCCUUACACGUAACAACAUCGUCAAGAAAGGAGAUUAUGUUGGUUUGGGCUCAAUUUUGCAACUAACCUUGCAUGAUGACUCUAAAAAGGAGACUUAAAGAUGGCAAAAUUAUAUGGUUACAGAUUAUUCAAGGAGAGUUGUAGUGGAUUGGUCAACCAAAACUGAAGUUAAAUUAGGGACACUCAAUCUGGAUAAGUUUUGGAAGGUUGAAUUUGCAAGGACUUUGAUUACAACUCUAGAGUUGAGGUGAUUGGACUACAAAUCUUACUACCAAACACCAAUAAUUCUGGUAGUUUUAGGAAUGGGGGCUGCACUAGUAAAAAUGAUUGUGUAUGGUUUGUAUUUCACUUUUGACCUCAUUGGUACAGUGAUUGGCAUGGAGAAUGAAGUUGUUGGGUUGCAUUUCCAAAAAAUGCAACAUUCCAAUAUUUUACAUCAACACUCAUACAACUUCGCUGGAUCCUUCUUGAAGAAGUGUUUUUACUUUAGGGUUGUCGUACAACUUUGAUAUUUCUAUAUUAGAUGGUUAUAGAGUUGAACUGUAAAGUAUGCACUCAAGCUACCUUAUAAGGAGAGCAAGUUCAUGAACUUGUAAUGAAAAAUAAAGGCAAUGUUGAAUUCCAAAAUUUUGUUGGAAAGGUGAUGAAUGCUUUAUAUGGAGCUUCUAAGUUGUGCAUUCGUACUCUAAUUUUGUUGCAUAAUUGCACUUAUUUCCCUUUUGUUGUCUUUGAAUCCAAAUAUGGAGGUGAAGGAGAAGGUCUAUUACACGAGCAAGCUACCAAUAUCGUUGGUGUUCGAAAGAUCUGAAGAGAGAUAUGAUGAGACCAAUUUAAAAAUGAAGUUGUUCUUAAGAUCAUCCAGAUACGUUAAGGAGGGGGAUACUGAAAUCUUUUCUAUUUUGAAUUACAUGGUCUUAAAUAUUAUUGAGUAUGAUGCCCAGUGCGUACCCAAAAGCUUUGAGGCAAUGCUAAUUUUAAGCGUGGAUGACAAGACUAUGUUAUAUAACCAGAUUACUAAACUGAUGCUACAGAGUGUUCCAAAGAUGUGUAGAAUUCUAAUGACACAUAAUUUCUAACUGUUGUCAUUUGAUCCUGGAGGGAUCAUUCUAUAUACCCUGCUAAUAUGGACAGAAUUACUUUUCAACUUGUCUGCAAAUUAUGUAAACUAUUUGAUUGUAUCUUCUACAGAACAAGGUGUUCUAAUUAUCCUAACUUUUAUUGUAGACUUGAAA